RNAcentral lists this non-coding RNA (511 nucleotides) under Phoma sp. M50. Its description in RNAcentral is "eukaryotic LSU rRNA". The stretch from base 195 to 348 matches the Rfam family "5.8S ribosomal RNA". Lineage: Eukaryota; Fungi; Ascomycota; Dothideomycetes; Pleosporales; Didymellaceae. The record is from RNAcentral. RNAcentral also lists the same sequence under 1 other name.
UGGAAGUAAAAGUCGUAACAAGGUUUCCGUAGGUGAACCUGCGGAAGGAUCAUUACCUAGAGUUGUAGGCUUUGCCUGCUAUCUCUUACCCAUGUCUUUUGAGUACCUUCGUUUCCUCGGCGGGUCCGCCCGCCGAUUGGACAAUUUAAACCAUUUGCAGUUGCAAUCAGCGUCUGAAAAAACUUAAUAGUUACAACUUUCAACAACGGAUCUCUUGGUUCUGGCAUCGAUGAAGAACGCAGCGAAAUGCGAUAAGUAGUGUGAAUUGCAGAAUUCAGUGAAUCAUCGAAUCUUUGAACGCACAUUGCGCCCCUUGGUAUUCCAUGGGGCAUGCCUGUUCGAGCGUCAUUUGUACCUUCAAGCUCUGCUUGGUGUUGGGUGUUUGUCUCGCCUCUGCGCGCAGACUCGCCUCAAAACAAUUGGCAGCCGGCGUAUUGAUUUCGGAGCGCAGUACAUCUCGCGCUUUGCACUCAGAACGACGACGUCCAAAAGUACAUUUUUACACUCUGAC